CUUUGCAAGCCCCAUAAUAACUUUUUUCCCCGAACCCUAGUGAGCUGUAAGUAAUUUGUUCCCAGAACCCACAACCUGAUGUAACAUAAUCCCUUGAAAAAUUACCUUCAGAGGCUACAUACCUUUCGCACUAAGAAAUAGCUGGUUUUUCCCCAACCCAGCCUCAGCUGACCUUAUAAGACACACCCGUUCUCAUUAUGCAACAGGAUCAGGGACAAGCCUAAUCCUGUCCUCCCCAUUUUCCUUUAACAUCUUAUCCUAUGUAGGCCUGAAACCAGCCACCAUAAUAACUCGUUACAGUUCUGCUGCAAGAUCAAUCUCGCACCUAAUGCCUAAACAAGAAAUAUUAACUCAACCCUCCAAGCUAUUAACCCCUGCAAAGACUAGUAUUUUUUUAUCCCACCUCAUCAUGUCACUCCAGUAUAAAAAGAAGGAACUCGGCAAUCAAAUAUCCCGCCUGUUUAACAAAAACAUCGCCUCUAGACCACCCCAUUACAGGUACACCCUGCCCAGUGAAACUCUUCAACGGCCGCGGUACACUGACCGUGCUAAGGUAGCAUAAUAAAUUGCCCCUUAAUUAGGGGCCAGUAUGAACGGCUAGACGAGGGUAUUACUGUCUCCUUUUUACCCGUAUAACCUUAUCUUCAGGUGAAGAAGCCUGAAUCACUAUAAAAGACAAAAAGUCCCUACCAAGCUUUAAUCUUAGUGAAACCCCAUAAGUGAAUCUUCCCUCACUUCGAUUUUUGUUGGGGCAACAAAGGAACACUUAUCAUCCUCCACACCUCCGACUCCAAGUCCCCCAAAAGAUCCCCCACAGAUCCCAGAUACCAGCUACUGUAGGGAUAACAGGCUAAUUCCCCCCCAGAGCCCAAAUCUACCGGGGAGAUUGGCACCUCGAUGUUGGCUUAAGAUACCCCCCAAGUGUAGCAGCUUAAAUGGUGGGUUUGUUCAACCCUUAAAAUCUUACAUGAG
RNAcentral lists this ribosomal RNA (972 nucleotides) under Lysidice sp. 2 JZ-2010. RNAcentral describes it as "partial 16S ribosomal RNA". It matches the Rfam family "Archaeal large subunit ribosomal RNA", at positions 762 to 2673 of the family's 2987-position model. Lineage: Eukaryota; Metazoa; Annelida; Polychaeta; Eunicida; Eunicidae. The record is from RNAcentral.